AUUGAACGCUGGCGGCAUGCCUUACACAUGCAAGUCGAACGGCAGCACGGGGCAACCUGGUGGCGAGUGGCGAACGGGUGAGUAAUGCAUCGGAACGUACCUUUCAGUGGGGGAUAACGUAGCGAAAGUUACGCUAAUACCGCAUAUUCUGUGAGCAGGAAAGCAGGGGAUCGCAAGACCUUGCGCUGAUUGAGCGGCCGAUGUCAGAGUAGCUAGUUGGUGAGGUAAAGGCUCACCAAGGCGACGAUCUGUAGCGGGUCUGAGAGGAUGAUCCGCCACACUGGAACUGAGACACGGUCCAGACUCCUACGGUAGGCAGCAGUGGGGAAUUUUGGACAAUGGGGGCAACCCUGAUCCAGCCAUGCCGCGUGAGUGAAGAAGGCCUUCGGGUUGUAAAGCUCUUUCGGCCGGGAAGAAAUCGCACGGGCUAAUACCCUGUGUGGAUGACGGUACCGGAAUAAGAAGCACCGGCUAACUACGUGCCAGCCGCCGCCGUAA
RNAcentral lists this ribosomal RNA (498 nucleotides) under uncultured bacterium. RNAcentral's name for it is "partial 16S ribosomal RNA". It matches the Rfam family "Bacterial small subunit ribosomal RNA", at positions 30 to 523 of the family's 1533-position model. The record is from RNAcentral.